GUGGAUUAGAUACCCUGGUUGUCCACGCCGUAAACGAUGGAUACUAGCUGUUGGAAGCAAUUUCAGUGGCUAAGCGAAAGUGAUAAGUAUCCCACCUGGGGAGUACGAACGCAAGUUUGAAACUCAAAGGAAUUGACGGGGGCCCGCACAAGCGGUGGAGCAUGUGGUUUAAUUCGAUGAUACGCGAGGAACCUUACCAAGGCUUAAAUGCAGACUGACCGAUUUGGAAACAGAUCUUUCGCAAGACAGUUUACAAGGUGCUGCACGGCCGUCGCCAGCU
RNAcentral lists this ribosomal RNA (280 nucleotides) under uncultured bacterium. RNAcentral describes it as "partial 16S ribosomal RNA". It matches the Rfam family "Bacterial small subunit ribosomal RNA", at positions 773 to 1060 of the family's 1533-position model. The record is from RNAcentral.